RNAcentral lists this ribosomal RNA (242 nucleotides) under uncultured bacterium. RNAcentral's name for it is "partial 16S ribosomal RNA". It matches the Rfam family "Bacterial small subunit ribosomal RNA", at positions 88 to 334 of the family's 1533-position model. The record is from RNAcentral.
CGGAUUAGUGGCGAACGGGUGAGUAACAUAUCGGAACGUACCCAGUAAUGGGGGAUAACUAGUCGAAAGACUGGCUAAUACCGCAUACGCCCUGAGGGGGAAAGCGGGGGAUCGAAAGACCUCGUGUUAUUGGAGCGGCCGAUAUCUGAUUAGCUAGUUGUGGGGUAAAGGCCUACCAAGGCGACGAUCAGUAGCUGGUCUGAGAGGACGACCAGCCACACUGGAACUGAGACACGGUCCAG